This 254-nucleotide ribosomal RNA is filed under the name uncultured bacterium. RNAcentral's name for it is "partial 16S ribosomal RNA". It matches the Rfam family "Bacterial small subunit ribosomal RNA", at positions 524 to 776 of the family's 1533-position model. The record is from RNAcentral.
UACGGGGGGAGCAAGCGUUGUUCGGAUUUACUGGGCGUAAAGGGCGCGUAGGCGGCCACCGCAAGUCAGUUGUGAAAUCUCUGGGCUUAACCCAGAAAGGUCAACUGAUACUGCGGGGCUAGAGUGCAGAAGGGGCAACUGGAAUUCUCGGUGUAGCGGUGAAAUGCGUAGAUAUCGAGAGGAACACCUGCGGCGAAGGCGGGUUGCUGGGCUGACACUGACGCUGAGGCACGAAGGUCAGGGGAGCAAACGGG